AAAACUCUGUCUAAAUAAAUAACAGCUUUGUUUAGUUAGAAAGUUCACUUUGGGACAGUUUACAUACAAAUGGUGGAGGAGUUUUAUUGCAACUGAAUCAGCUUCAGGGUUCGUGGAAGUAAUUCUGUUUCACUGAAAUCUUAAUUUGCCUCCAUGAACAAAUCUCUGUUAAAAUCUUUAGGCCAAUCGUAAUUCAGCUGGGAAAGGAGGUCUUUGACAGUAUGGGAGUAUUUUUUUUUUUUGCAAAGUAUGCAAAUAAUACCAAGUUAAGAUGUUUCAUCCGGGUAGACGAAAACCCAACAAGAGAUUACUGGGAUAAAGUUAAAAGGUGACUCAACAACGCAUUAGCUUAAGGGUGUGCACACUUAACCACAUUAUUUUAGUCAUUUAUUAUCCAUUUUCCCUCCACAAGAUUUUAGCUAUUUUUUCAGUUUGGGUCACAUUAAUUUAGGAAAAAAAGUUCUGAAUUUAUGAGUAUCAGGAAACUAUGGUACAUGAGAUGGUGUUUACAAGUGCUGUAAACACCAUGCAUACAGGAAGUUGUACAUGCUUGCAAAAAGAACAUAAAAUGAAUGGCAAGGCACAAAAAGUUGGACUCUGAAAAGGUUUUUGAAAUAUAAAAAGUAAUAUCAGACUCAAAGUUAAAAGGCAGUACAUGGUUUUUGAUCAUUUCUUGAGCUGCAUGUCUAAGCCAAUUGCAUUUUGCUGAUUUUCUUAUUAACUGUUCUUGAUCACCAACUAAGAGAAAUACAAAUGCAGAAAACUACCGUCUUUUGAGUUCUCCCAGUAAUUCAUAAAUUUGCACACAAAAAUGCAACACGUGUGUGCUAGCAUGAACAAAUAAUGCUUACUUUGCACACAAGCACAUGUGAAUUAAGGUUGUAAGUUAAGCUAUUGUUUUGUUUGCCAUUAAUAA
Long non-coding RNA from Poecilia latipinna (sailfin molly), 916 nucleotides. RefSeq lists it as uncharacterized. The record is from RefSeq and is a predicted model, not a curated record. The transcript has 3 exons. Lineage: Eukaryota; Metazoa; Chordata; Actinopteri; Cyprinodontiformes; Poeciliidae.